Molecule: small nuclear RNA, 157 nt
Filed under: Mus musculus (house mouse)
Lineage: Eukaryota; Metazoa; Chordata; Mammalia; Rodentia; Muridae
Description: U2 spliceosomal RNA
Rfam family: U2 spliceosomal RNA
About the family: U2 is a small nuclear RNA (snRNA) component of the spliceosome (involved in pre-mRNA splicing). Complementary binding between U2 snRNA (in an area lying towards the 5' end but 3' to hairpin I) and the branchpoint sequence (BPS) of the intron results the bulging out of an unpaired adenosine, on the BPS, which initiates a nucleophilic attack at the intronic 5' splice site, thus starting the first of two transesterification reactions that mediate splicing.
Source: Rfam by way of RNAcentral
AUCGCUUCUCGGCCUUUUGGCUAAGAUCAAGUGUAGAAAUAGAUUGUUUCCAUACUGUUGGCUUCUAAGUAUUUUAUUUUUUUAAAAGAUUUACAUUUGUUAGAGAUAAAGAUUGUUUUAUAUAAGUACACUGUCACUGUCUUCAGACACACCAGAA